RNAcentral lists this ribosomal RNA (492 nucleotides) under uncultured bacterium. RNAcentral's name for it is "partial 16S ribosomal RNA". It matches the Rfam family "Bacterial small subunit ribosomal RNA", at positions 30 to 507 of the family's 1533-position model. The record is from RNAcentral.
AUUGAACGCUGGCGGCAUGCUUUACACAUGCAAGUCGAACGGUAACAGGCCUUCGGGUGCUGACGAGUGGCGAACGGGUGCGUAAUGCAUCGGAACGUACCCAGAGGUGGGGGAUAACGCAGCGAAAGCUGUGCUAAUACCGCAUGUGAUCUGAGGAUGAAAGCGGGGGACCGAGCAGCAAUGUUUGGCCUCGCGCCUUUGGAGCGGCCGAUGUCGGAUUAGCUAGUUGGUGGGGUAAAGGCCUACCAAGGCGACGAUCCGUAGCUGGUCUGAGAGGACGAUCAGCCACACUGGGACUGAGACACGGCCCAGACUCCUACGGGAGGCAGCAGUGGGGAAUUUUGGACAAUGGGCGCAAGCCUGAUCCAGCCAUGCCGCGUGCGGGAAGAAGGCCUUCGGGUUGUAAACCGCUUUUGGCAGGAACGAAACGGUGUCCGCUAAUACCGGGCGCUAAUGACGGUACCUGCAGAAUAAGCACCGGCUAACUACGUG